Molecule: ribosomal RNA, 134 nt
Filed under: uncultured eukaryote
Lineage: Eukaryota
Description: partial small subunit ribosomal RNA
Rfam family: Eukaryotic small subunit ribosomal RNA
Source: RNAcentral
CCCUGCCCUUUGUACACACCGCCCGUCGCUACUACCGAUCGACAUGCUUUUUGAGGCGUUCGGAGAGCCUAUAAGGAGCUGGCAACAGCACUUUACUGGUUCAAAGUUCUACGAAAAUGGUUUGUUAGAGGAAG